RNAcentral lists this ribosomal RNA (460 nucleotides) under uncultured bacterium. RNAcentral describes it as "partial 16S ribosomal RNA". It matches the Rfam family "Bacterial small subunit ribosomal RNA", at positions 338 to 795 of the family's 1533-position model. The record is from RNAcentral.
CCUACGGGAGGCAGCAGUGAGGAAUAUUGGUCAAUGGACGAAAGUCUGAACCAGCCAAGUAGCGUGAAGGAUGACGGCCCUAUGGGUUGUAAACUUCUUUUAUAAGGGACUAAAACGAGGCCCGUUUGCCUUUUUGCAUUUACUUUAUGAAUAAGGAUCGGCUAACUCCGUGCCAGCAGCCGCGGUAAUACGGGGGAGCCGGGCGUUACCCGGAUUUAUUGGGUUUAAAGGGAGCGUAGAUGGGUUGUUAAGUCAGUUGGAAAAGCUUGCGGCUCAACCGGAAAAUUGCCAUUGAUACUGGCAGUCUUGAGUACAGAUGAGGUAGGAGGAAUGCGUGGUGUAGCGGUGAAAUGCUUAGAUAUCACGCAGAACACCGAUUGCGAAGGCAGCUUACUAAACUGUGACUGACAUUGAUGCUCGAAAGUGUGGGUAUCAAACAGGAUUAGAUACCCUAGUAGUC